RNAcentral lists this ribosomal RNA (250 nucleotides) under uncultured bacterium. RNAcentral describes it as "partial 16S ribosomal RNA". It matches the Rfam family "Bacterial small subunit ribosomal RNA", at positions 524 to 773 of the family's 1533-position model. The record is from RNAcentral.
UACAGAGGUCCCAAGCGUUGUUCGGAUUUACUGGGCGUAAAGGGUGCGUAGGCGGUCGGGUAAGUCUGAUGUGAAAUCUCCGAGCUCAACUCGGAAAUGGCAUUGGAUACUAUUCGGCUCGAGAGUUGGAGGGGAGACUGGAAUACUUGGUGUAGCAGUGAAAUGCGUAGAUAUCAAGUGGAACACCAGUGGCGAAGGCGAGUCUCUGGACAACUUCUGACGCUGAGGCACGAAAGCUAGGGGAGCAAAC